This 909-nucleotide ribosomal RNA is filed under the name Rhynchopus euleeides. RNAcentral describes it as "partial large subunit ribosomal RNA". The record is from RNAcentral. Lineage: Eukaryota; Euglenozoa; Diplonemea; Diplonemida; Diplonemidae.
CACUGGAGUAGACGAUGAUACUGAUACUCUACUGCAUACUGUACAGGUAAUGGACAUCCUAUACGUAUAGAUGAGCUACACGUGAUACCUAUCAUCUACAGUAUACUGUGUAGCGAUACUCUAUUAGUAGCAUCACCGUAGUAGUGGUACACUGUUAUGCAUACAUACAUGUACAUAGUACAAUGCUUAUCAUGAUACUACUACCUACUAGUGGAUGUGUACUGUAUACUCUAUAGAGCAUGCAGAUAUACUACUACUAGCAAUGCACUCAUUGUAUGACACCAUCGUAUGUAUUGACUACUACUACUAACUAGUACAUGAUACUGUUACAGUGUAUGCAAUACCUAUCAUGAUGUGUAUACACGUGUGUAGUAUACUACUGAUACAUCGUACUAAGCACUAUCCUAUACAGAUAGCAUCACAGCAUGUACUACAUAUACUACUAAGUACUACGUGUGUAUAGUGUAUGGGUGAUACUGUAGCGGGAUGAUUACUAGGACGUAUAGUAUGUACGAAUCACGUGCUUUUUUUUUUUUUUUUUUUUUUUUUUUUUUUGUCCUAUACGCAUCGGUACAACUAAGACACUGUCCCUCCCACUAUCGUGUUAACUAGCGGCCGGAGAUCCUGUUGGUGGCAGAGAUGCCGUAUCGAUUGCCUUCGGGCAUGGUGCUUCACUCAAGAUGUUCAAGUACGGGAGGGCUAACACGCAGUACCAGUACUCACUCCAUCGUCGUCUCUAUCACAGGUACUUGACACCAUGCUCUGACCACCUGUAUCCGUGGCUCUCGCUGUCGUUGAUGGGUUUAGGCACCAGUGUUGGAUGCCUCUGUGUCUAGUGUGUACUACCUCAAGACUGUGCACAGUACUACGUAAGGACACCGUACACUCAGGAUCCAAAAAAAAAAAAAA